This 468-nucleotide ribosomal RNA is filed under the name uncultured bacterium. RNAcentral's name for it is "partial 16S ribosomal RNA". It matches the Rfam family "Bacterial small subunit ribosomal RNA", at positions 28 to 507 of the family's 1533-position model. The record is from RNAcentral.
GACGAACGCUGGCGGCGUGCUUAACACAUGCAAGUCGAACGGAAAGGCCCUGCUUUUGUGGGGUGCUCGAGUGGCGAACGGGUGAGUAACACGUGAGUAACCUGCCCCUGACUUUGGGAUAACUUCAGGAAACUGGGGCUAAUACCGGAUAGGAGCUCCUGCUGCAUGGUGGGGGUUGGAAAGUUUCGGCGGUUGGGGAUGGACUCGCGGCUUAUCAGCUUGUUGGUGGGGUAGUGGCUUACCAAGGCUUUGACGGGUAGCCGGCCUGAGAGGGUGACCGGCCACAUUGGGACUGAGAUACGGCCCAGACUCCUACGGGAGGCAGCAGUGGGGAGUAUUGCACAAUGGGCGGAAGCCUGAUGCAGCAACGCCGCGUGCGGGAUGACGGCCUUCGGGUUGUAAACCGCUUUCGCCUGUGACGAAGCGUGAGUGACGGUAAUGGGUAAAGAAGCACCGGCUAACUACGUG